CACGCACAAAGCCCUCACGGGGAAGGCACAACUAGAGUGGCACAUUGAUUUGCCAAAUUUGGCGGGAGCCUGGCAACGCUGACCCCUAAAUCUGGCAACUGAUUUAUGCAUUGCCAAACAGAAUCUUGCCGCUUUCAUUUUAUUGUUUUAGCGUCUCAACCAUUAAUUAUGCGUUACUCUAACUGUAAACUCCGGCACCAGUCAUCAUUCUUGCCUGACAUUGACCUGCCGCACAACGAAGACACUGUUGUUGGCAGAAAUCGCAGUACUCAAAUUCGGAACAAGCGCUGCUCCAGAUCUCAAGUCAGACUGCGAGCGGAUUUCAGCGAAGGCACGGUUCAGCUAACGCAACUUGGUGAAAACCCGUGCCGAGUGUUGGGCAGGCGCCUUGCAGUAGGGGAGACUGUGACGGUGUCUGACGGUGAUCAACUGGAAUUGCUUGCGGAGGAGCUGCCUUAUGUAGUUGUGUUCGGGAGGCCAUCGUCGGCUGCUGGUGCUGUCGAUUUUCCUAGUUGUGACGGAAGCCACUCCUUGAAGCGUAAAUUUGAUGAAGAGGACAUGCCGCUACCGAAAAAGCAUGUCUCAUCCGACGCUCAUGAUGAACAAGACGACCACGUGAAAGAAGUAGCUCGCAAGUUGAAACACAUGCAGAAUAGUUAUAAAAAGCAUCGCAGCUCCGAGAAGUUGACGCAACGAAGUGAAACUGACGUUGCGCGUCAACAUGCCAGUCCUGCAGCUCACCCAAACAAGAGUGGAUGGACAGAAUUGACACAGCAUCAAGUCUUGAUAUUUAAUUCAGAAAAACUUGAACACAAACCCAAGAUCGCUGCAUUUGACCUUGAUGGAACUCUAAUCACUACCAGGUCUGGCAAGGUCUUUCCUGUAAGCUCAGCUGAUUGGCGGAUACUGCUGUCAGAAACUGAGCCACGCCUGUGUAAUCUUGUAGAAGAAGGCUACAAGAUUGUUAUCAUUACUAAUCAAAGAGGUCUGGCUAAAAGCCAGAGCCAUGAAGCUGACUUCAAGAACAAGGUGGAGCAUAUCUUAAAGGCAUUGGCUGUACCAGCCCAAGUGUACGUGUCUGUUGGCCACGGCUUCUAUCGCAAACCAGCACCAGGGAUAUGGCAUCACCUGGAGUCUCAGGGAAAUGGAGGUAUCCCGGUUGAUUUGAAGGAGUCAUUUUAUGUUGGAGAUGCUGCUGGAAGACCGGCAAACUGGGAACCAAAACGCAAAAAAGAUUUUUCGUGUUCAGACAGACUGUUCGCCCUCAACAUCGGGAUUGCAUUCUACACUCCAGAAGAGUUUUUUCUGAAGCAACCUGUAGCUAAAUUUGAUCUCCCGCAAUUUGACCCUCGUGCAAUGCCAGGUCUUCCUCUUGCUGAAGUAAUAGCAUCCACAAAGCCAAGUGAAGACAAGCUCUUGAAUGGUGAUAAUCUUCCAGCGGAUCACACCGAGAUUGUGGUGCUUGUUGGGUAUCCUGCAUCUGGUAAGAGUCACUUUGCAAAGGAGUACCUUGUAUCAAAGCAGUACGCUCAUAUUAACCGUGAUAUGUUGAAGUCGGCCCAGAAGUGUGUUGAGGAAUGCGAGAAGGCACUAAGGCGGGGUCAGAGUGCUGUGAUAGACAAUACUAACCCAGAUCCUGAGAGUCGGAAAAGAACAAAUCAAAAGAAAGGAAGAUAUGCAAGGCAUCGCUACCCCAGCUGCAAGGAACCGUUUAAAGGUUUGUUGACAUAGCAAGGAAACAUGGCUGUGAGUGCAGGUGUUUUGUUAUGGAUUGCACCCUGGAAAGAGCAAAGCAUAAUAACCAGUUUCGUGAGAUAAAGCUGAAGGGACAACCCCAUGUUUCCGUCACAGACAUGGUGCUGUACAACCAUCGGCAAGU
RNAcentral lists this unclassified non-coding RNA (1879 nucleotides) under Rhipicephalus microplus (southern cattle tick). Its description in RNAcentral is "bifunctional polynucleotide phosphatase/kinase-like, transcript variant X1". Lineage: Eukaryota; Metazoa; Arthropoda; Arachnida; Ixodida; Ixodidae. The record is from RNAcentral.